GAAAGGGUAGGUACUAAUUCCAAGGCUGACCCGGAAGUGAUAACGGAAGCGGGCAUUUCAACCCAAGAUGGACAGCAGUUCAGUGGCGUUUUGCCCGUUUUGCGGGGCACAUAUGAGUAGAUUAACGCGGUUUUGUUUUUCUUGUGGACGGUCCUUAGAGUUUUUAAAUGGGACAGAACAGACGGAAGGUCCAGAGGCACAGGGGAUAUGUCAACAGCCGGAUAAUGCUAAACAAACAGAAAAACCUUGCCCGUCAUAUAAACAGUUCCUGGAAUACUGAAGCUCGAAGUCCAAAGAGCGUCAGUCUUUUAACUACGGGCCUAGAGGAAGACACCGGGCUAAAGAACAAAAACACGUCCAGGUUUUUGAACUCCCAAAGAUAAGUCUGAAAAUGAAAGAGAUGCACUGGGACAUCAAGCUACAAUUCAGCCAGGACAGAUUGAGAAUGCUGCUACAUUGGAUGCUCUACAAGAAUGUAUCAUGAGACACAGCACAAUGUUGCAGACAGCAGGCUGUCUUAGACAUGUGGCUGCUGUGGACGAAAAGACAGAAAUUGUGGCCAACUACCUCCAGUGGUAUAUUUUUGACCGCAACUCAUCUGUAAUUGACAGUGUGUUCACUUUGUAGAUUCAAAGAUGGUCUUUCAGCUCUUCAGUUCCUGACUGCACUACAGCAACACCCUACUUUGCUGACCCCUGUCCUGUGCCACUGUGAAAAGCGACUGACUGCCUUUGAGCUUGAGAGACUCUUCAAACCUCAACUCAGCCCUUCAGGGAGUAAUAGGAGACUGAAAGAAAGCCAAACCUUGGCCUGCUGGGCAGACUAUCUCCUUGAUUGUGAAGAAGGCGAGGCUGCUGUGUCUGUGGAAGACAUUUUGAUGUUUGCAACUGGGCUGACAUCACUUCCCCCAUCUGGCUUGGAACCACUGCCACAAAUAGAGUUCCUGGAUGACGUUCCACUCCCAAUGGCAAAUACAUGUUCAAACUUGUUGAAAUUACCAUUUCUGGAUUCAUAUAGUGUGUUUAAGUCACAAAUGGACUUUGGAAUUCAAAAUAGUCCAGGAUUUAGUUGUCUAUAAACUAUAUAGCUAGAUAACCAUUAGAGUAGUGUUUUUCAAACCUGGUCAUCCAGGCACAAUGCCCUGCACGUUUUAGAUCAGAGAUCCUAAUCCUGAAUAACUGAU
RNA transcript from Archocentrus centrarchus (flier cichlid), 1183 nucleotides. It is a transcript of the gene named G2/M phase-specific E3 ubiquitin-protein ligase-like, with no coding region annotated. Lineage: Eukaryota; Metazoa; Chordata; Actinopteri; Cichliformes; Cichlidae. The record is from RefSeq and is a predicted model, not a curated record. The transcript is spliced from 7 exons.